AAGUCACCUCGAGCCUUGGCUCGGAUUUGGACGUUUGCCGUCGGGGCUCGUCUUGAAAUGCAUUAGCUUGCCCGCCGCAGACCGAAUGGUGCGAUGAGUUGAAUCUUUCACCCCUGGGUCUCGUCGGGUGGGCUCACAGUCGUCUUUGCACAAAACUCUUGA
Molecule: unclassified non-coding RNA, 162 nt
Filed under: uncultured Gomphaceae
Lineage: Eukaryota; Fungi; Basidiomycota; Agaricomycetes; Gomphales; Gomphaceae
Description: sequence contains ITS2
Source: RNAcentral